This 402-nucleotide ribosomal RNA is filed under the name Bacteroidota bacterium. RNAcentral describes it as "Bacteroidetes bacterium partial 16S ribosomal RNA". It matches the Rfam family "Bacterial small subunit ribosomal RNA", at positions 355 to 776 of the family's 1533-position model. The record is from RNAcentral. Lineage: Bacteria; Pseudomonadati; Bacteroidota.
UGGGGAAUUUUGCACAAUAGGGGAAACCCUGAUGCAGCGACGCCGCGUGAUUUAGAAGGCCUUCGGGUUGUAAAAAUCUUUUUUACGGGAUGAAAAUGACAGUACCGUAAGAAUAAGGUCCGGCUAAAUACGUGCCAGCAGCCGCGGUAAUACGUAUGGACCGAGCGUUGUCCGGAAUCAUUGGGCGUAAAGGGUACGUAGGCGGCCUAGUAAGUUAGAAGUUAAAGAAUAUAGCUCAACUAUAUAAAGCUUUUAAAACUGCUAGGCUUGAGAGAUGGAAGGGAAAGUGGAAUUCCUAGUGUAGCGGUGAAAUGCGCAGAUAUUAGGAAGAAUACCGGUGGCGAAGGCGACUUUCUGGUCAUCAUCUGACGCUGAGGUACGAAAGCGUGGGUAGCAAACAGG